Molecule: ribosomal RNA, 1435 nt
Filed under: uncultured bacterium
Lineage: Bacteria
Description: bacterial SSU rRNA
Rfam family: Bacterial small subunit ribosomal RNA
Source: RNAcentral
AGAGUUUGAUCCUGGCUCAGAACGUACGCUGGCGGCACGCCUUAUACAUGCAAGUCGAACGAAGUAGCAAUACUUAGUGGCAGACGGGUGAGUAACAUGUGGGUAUCUUCCCUUUGGUGAGGAAUAACACGAGGAAACUUGUGCUAAUACCGGAUAAGCCUUCACAGGGAAAGUUUUAACGCCAAAAGAUGAGCCUGCACUUGAUUAGCUAGUUGGUAAGGUAAUGGCUUACCAAGGCUACGAUCAAUAGCUGUUCUUAGAGGAAGAUCAGCCACAUUGGGACUGAGACACGGCCCAAACUCCUACGGGAGGCAGCAGUGGGGAAUAUUGCACAAUGGGGGAAACCCUGAUGCAGCGAUGCCGCGUGAGUGAAGAAGGCCUUUGGGUUGUAAAGCUCUUUCGUCGGGGAAGAAAAUGACUGUACCCGAAUAAGAAGGUCCGGCUAACUUCGUGCCAGCAGCCGCGGUAAUACGAAGGGACCUAGCGUAGUUCGGAAUUACUGGGCUUAAAGAGCUCGUAGGUGGUUAGAAAAGUUGGUGGUGAAAUCCCAAGGCUUAACCUUGGAACUGCCAUCAAAACUUUUUAGCUAGAGUAUGAUAGAGGAAAGCAGAAUUUCUAGUGUAGAGGUGAAAUUCGUAGAUAUUAGAAAGAAUACCGAUUGCGAAGGCAGCUUUCUGGAUCAUUACUGACGCUGAGGAACGAAAGCAUGGGUAGCGAAGAGGAUUAGAUACCCUCGUAGUCCAUGCCGUAAACGAUGUGUGUUAGACGUUGGAAAUUUAUUUUCAGUGUCGCAGCGAAAGCAAUAAACACACCGCCUGGGGAGUACGACCGCAAGGUUAAAACUCAAAUGAAUUGACGGGGACCCGCACAAGUAGUGGAGCAUGUGGUUUAAUUCGAAGAUACGCGCAGAACCUUACCAACACUUGACAUGUUCGUCGCGACUUUAAGAGAUUAAAGUUUUCGGUUCGGCCGGACGAAACACAGGUGCUGCAUGGCUGUCGUCAGCUCGUGUCGUGAGAUGUUGGGUUAAGUCCCGCAACGAGCGCAACCCUCACUUUUAGUUGCCAUCAUUUAGUUGGGCACUCUGAAAGAACUGCCAGUGAUAAGCUGGAGGAAGGUGGGGAUGACGUCAAGUCCUCAUGGCCCUUAUGUGUUGGGCUACACACGUGCUACAAUGGUAUCUACAACAGGAAGCAAGAUGGCAACAUUUAGCAAAUCCUAAAAAGAUAUCUCAGUUCGGAUUGCACUCUGCAACUCGAGUGCAUGAAGCUGGAAUUACUAGUAAUCGUGGAUCAGCGUGCCACGGUGAAUACGUUCCCGGGUCUUGUACACACCGCCCGUCACACCAUGGGAGUUGGUUCUACCUUAAGGCAAAGUUUAAAACCUUUGACCACGGUAUAGUCAGCGACUGGGGUGAAGUCGUAACAAGGUAACC